UUAGCAGACAAGACGCUCUUAUUUCCCGAGCCCUUAUUCCAGUCAAGACACAUCUUCUAUAGUAAAAAAAAACCCAUUAUGUAAUAUAACAAAACAAAAUAAAACAGAAUAGUGCGAAGAUAUUCACAGUUAUUCUCAUAGCGAUCAUUUGAAACGGGGCUCAAUUUGGCAAGUUGAAAGACACAUGCCUUUUCCUUGGAAUUUUCUAAAUGGAUAAACAGUUCUACAUUGAACACUGCAUGGGGAUGAAUUAUGGCCACGACAUCUGUUUGGUCGUGAUGUCCCAUACCGCUGCAUCGUGACAGUCUGGAGACAGAGAGUAUCCACCAUCUGGGGAUCUGCAAGCUGUAAGUCACCUCAAUUGAGGGCAACUAAACAUUUUGAUGCGGCAGCUACCUCCUUCAGUUUCUCCCCCC
Coregonus clupeaformis (lake whitefish) is the source of this 416-nucleotide long non-coding RNA. RefSeq lists it as uncharacterized. The record is from RefSeq and is a predicted model, not a curated record. The transcript has 3 exons. NCBI's taxonomy places the organism in Eukaryota, Metazoa, Chordata, Actinopteri, Salmoniformes, Salmonidae.